UGGGGAAUUUUGGACAAUGGGCGAAAGCCUGAUCCAGCAAUGCCGCGUGUGUGAAGAAGGCCUUCGGGUUGUAAAGCACUUUUGUCCGGAAAGAAAUCCUUGGCUCUAAUACAGUCGGGGGAUGACGGUACCGGAAGAAUAAGCACCGGCUAACUACGUGCCAGCAGCCGCGGUAAUACGUAGGGUGCAAGCGUUAAUCGGAAUUACUGGGCGUAAAGCGUGCGCAGGCGGUUUGCUAAGACCGAUGUGAAAUCCCGGGCUCAACCUGGGAACUGCAUUGGUGACUGGCAGGCUAGAGUAUGGCAGAGGGGGGUAGAAUUCCACGUGUAGCAGUGAAAUGCGUAGAGAUGUGGAGGAAUACCGAUGGCGAAGGCAGCCCCCUGGGCCAAUACUGACGCUCAUGCACGAAAGCGUGGGGAGCAAACAGGAUUAGAUACCCUGGUAGUCCACGCCCUAAACGAUGUCAACUAGUUGUUGGGGAUUCAUUUCCUUAGUAACGUAGCUAACGCGUGAAGUUGACCGCCUGGGGAGUACGGUCGCAAGAUU
This 546-nucleotide ribosomal RNA is filed under the name uncultured bacterium. Its description in RNAcentral is "partial 16S ribosomal RNA". It matches the Rfam family "Bacterial small subunit ribosomal RNA", at positions 355 to 895 of the family's 1533-position model. The record is from RNAcentral.